GAGAAAGUGUCAAAACCGAGCAACGCGCCAGUCCGCCUGAAUUCUGGAUAAGACGGCCUCCGGCAAAAACCCUCCCGUUCGGCUGCCUCACCCCUCCCCAACGCUGCCAUGGCCUCGCUCCACCCCGCGACGGCCACGCCGCCACCGCGCCACUCCCUCGCGCCCUCUCUCCGCGCGUCUUCACUCUCGUGGUCCGCCUCCAUCGCCGUCUCCCGCAUCCUGCCGCCCCCUCGACUCGAGCUCCACUCGCCGGCGCCGGCUCACGGGCCCGGCAACCGCCAGCAGAACCUGUUGGUGUGCGCGGCGUGGACGCGGCGGUCGCGCGGGGAGGCGGAGCAGCGGCCGAACCGCAAGUCGUGGAAGCAGCGCACGGACAUGUACAUGCGCCCCUUCCUGCUCAACGUCUUCUUCUCCAAGCGCUUCGUGCACGCCAAGGUCAUGCACAGGGGCACCAGCAAGGUCAUCGCCGUCGCCACCACCAACGCCAAGGACCUCCGCCUCACGCUGCCGUCCCUCGUCGACGACAACGCCUGCAGGACCAUCGGGAGGCUCAUCGCCGAGCGGUCCAUGGACGCCGACGUCUUCGCCCUGGCCUACGAGCCCAAGAAAAACGAGCGGAUCGAGGGCAAGCUCGGGAUCAUAAUCGAUACGAUUAAGGAGCAUGGUAUCAUCUUCGUCUAGGCAAGUUUCAGGAUUGACUUGCACCCUUGCAUAACAAUCCGUCAAAUGAAAAGUACGAGUUGCCAGUAACAAUCUGAAGACAAAGUAAUCCAGUGAUUGAUCCCAUUUUGCUUCAAAUUUAAGUACCCAACUACUUAAUUCCAUCAUCCUUGAGUACUUACAGGUGAGAUAACAGUAAGUUUUAUUGUGUAAUAUUGGUUACUGAUAGUGUUUCAAACUUCAGAGGAUAAGAAUACAUGGUUUUGCUAGGAAGUUGGAGUUAUGCACAAGUUAUGACUCUGUAAAAUGGUUUCCUUUCCCUCUCUUGUUCUUCAUUAGAUAGCUGAUGUAUGUCCUCCAGGAGCUGUAUUGUUCAUUCUCUUCAAAUAAUAAUUGAAUAGUUCCACCAGAUGUUGAGAGAUUCAUUGCACGGUAGUUAUGUUCACCUGUUGGAUAGCUGAACUCUUCUCCUUCGCCUUGUUCAUGGAAAAUUACAUCUGGAAGAAAAUGGAGGUAAAUGGUACAAUAAGAGAAAUGAGAUUACGACAACAAUUUGUUGAGAGGAAAUGACAAUGACUCACAGUUCUAGCACUUUACUCAUCUUUGAUACCUUCCUGCUCAACAAACUGGAAGUAACAUAGUUCUAGAUCUGCUUUUUUUGAACUGUAUCAUCUAGAUCUUUUGAGUUUGUUUGUCUCUGUCAUAUCAUUGUACUGUGUUGGAAUAUUUCCUCAACGGUGAGUGAUGCAAAUUAUCUAUUUAUAAAGUGCUCAUCAUCAUUUCUUCUUGACCUUAGUAUGUAUUAUAUUUGUUUCUGUAUAAGAUACAUUAAUAGAUCUCAUUUAAUACUCACAUUUUUCAGAGGUUCUGAAACGACUCUUCUUGCCUAAUGUUAGGAUUAUAUUGUCAUACUUGCACUGCACAGAAACCAUCCUGGUAUGAAACCUUCCUGCAUGGAGGCAUAAAUGAAUCUACUUAAUUGUUUUCCCCAAACUCUAUUCUAUUAGUGGAAAUGUAGUAUAAUGGGGCGAAAUCAGUCAUUGGUGAAUUAAUUGUCUAUACCCUUGGGUGUCCGAACAAGAAGUAUGGCAUCUUUCUGGCUGUUCAUGUGGCCUUCAAAGGAAUAGUUGCUUAUUGUCCGCAUCUUAAGGCCGUCAACCCCUCUUAGGCCUGCAGCAGCAAGAACCAUGAUUUCAUAUUAUUAUAUGUUUUAACUGGAAGAAAGGAGCUGAUAUGGUUCUUGAUCUUACAGGCUGCUGCACUAGUAGUCAGUGUGAGCAAAUCUCCCAGUGCUCUAGUCUCUAAUCCCAUGUUGAUGACUGAUGAAACCUGUUCCUUGCUAGCUCCGGAAGAUUUUGCAGCCUCAGCACAUGAGGCUGCCACCAGUGCUGCAGCUGAAGUAAUUGCUGCACGCAUCUUCAUAUCAGUGUCUUCUCUCCUGUCAGUCAUGGCAAUGCUACUCAGAUUGUUUGACCCAAAUGAGCAAUUUCCAAUAGUCCCUGCAACUACUGUGGAUAGUCUUGCAACUGAGAGGGCUGCAUGCAUCUGGGCAGUUCGGAGUCUUUUAUCCUCUCUAUUACUUCCAUAUCCCCUCUGCAUUAUGUUCAAUAGCUUGGCUUUCAACCAUUCUGCCACUGGGGCCACGAUCAUCUGGAGAACAUUAUAUGUGUCAAUGGCAAAAUAGAAAGCCUGCUUAUCUUUGAGAAGUCCUGUCUUUGCUUACACAAUUUGUGUUCCCGGUCUUGUAUUUCUGAAACCUUGUGUGGUGAACAUUUCCGCUCGAUAGUAGAGCCUGUUGGAGAAUCUAUCGGAUCAGGUCUACAAACAUCUACAAUAUGCAUUUAAUCAUUGAAUGGUGGAGAACACCAGCAAUUUGACUUGGAGAUCCUUACAAUCUGUCAUUGAUGUGGGAAAAGUAGACAUUCUUUUUUGAAGAAAAAAAGUAGACAUUCUAACUGCGGAUUCUCCAGCAGUAUGCCUUCAUCGGAGUUAGCAACCAUCUGUGGACUUGAAGAUGUCGGCUACGAUGGUGGGGUUCCUAAACUAGUGAUAUCUUCUUGUGGCUUGAAAUGUGACAUCACAUCGACUGAGAAAUUCUAACCAACCUUGGCAAGUGAUUGGGCAAGGAUUUUCCAAGUUUUCAUAUACAAAACAUACUCUAUAAUCUAUUGUUCUCACUUGCUUGAAAUUUAUUACUCAGACAAGGUUUUGAUGCAUGACUAAGUUUGGAAAUUGUCAUUUGCACCUAGUUUUGAAAACUGUGAUUCAACUUAA
Molecule: RNA transcript, 2934 nt
Organism: Panicum hallii
Lineage: Eukaryota; Viridiplantae; Streptophyta; Magnoliopsida; Poales; Poaceae
Gene name: 50S ribosomal protein L18
Exons: 6
Source: RefSeq, a predicted model, not a curated record